RNAcentral lists this ribosomal RNA (435 nucleotides) under uncultured bacterium. Its description in RNAcentral is "partial 16S ribosomal RNA". It matches the Rfam family "Bacterial small subunit ribosomal RNA", at positions 29 to 507 of the family's 1533-position model. The record is from RNAcentral.
AGCGAACGCUGGCGGCAGGCUUAACACAUGCAAGUCGAGCGGGCACUCUCGGGUGUCAGCGGCGGACGGGUGAGUAACGCGUGGGAACGUGCCCUCUGGUUCGGAAUAACUCAGGGAAACUUGAGCUAAUACCGGAUACGCCCUUUUGGGGAAAGGCUUGCUGCCGGAGGAUCGGCCCGCGUCUGAUUAGCUAGUUGGUGAGGUAACGGCACACCAAGGCGACGAUCAGUAGCUGGUCUGAGAGGAUGAUUAGCCACACUGGGACUGAGACACGGCCCAGACUCCUACGGGAGGCAGCAGUGGGGAAUAUUGGACGAUGGGCGCAAGCCUGAUCCAGCCAUGCCGCGUGAGUGAUGAAGGCCUUAGGGUUGUAAAGCUCUUUUAUCCGGGACGAUAAUGACGGUACCGGAGGAAUAAGCCCCGGCUAACUUCGUG